CUUGUUCUACAGCUCCUUCAAAUUUCAGAUGAUUGAAAUCACGUAAACUGUAAACAUAAAAAUUUGAGUAACAGUAAUAGAUUUGCUAAAGAAAAUGAAGAAUUCUCUGAGAAGAUUGCGAAAUAUUGCACUUAACCGGCACGGUGAUGAAACCGAGGACCGAAAAGAUUCUCCACCUUUGCCUCAAUUCGAUGAACUCGAUCAAGCUUCUCAGGAGAUGCGGGAUAUGAGAGAUUGCUACGACAGCUUACUCUAUGCAGCUGCCGCAGCAACAAAUAGUGCUUUCGAAUUCUCAGUGUCAUUGAGGGAAAUGGGUGAUUGUCUUCUCGGAAAAACUUCACUUAACGAUGAUGAAGAAAGUGGUAAAGUACUAUUAAUGCUCGGAAAAGUACAGUUUGGACUCCAGAAACUUGUUGACAGCUAUCGAUCUCAUAUAAUCCAGACAAUCACAAGCCCAUCAGAGUCCCUUCUUAAUGAACUUCGAACAGUUGAGGAGAUGAAGCGGCAAUGUGAUGAGAAAAGAAAUGUGUAUGAGUACAUGGCAAUGAGACACGAAGAAACAGGAAGAUCAAUAUGUGGGAAAGGGGAGAAUUUCUCCGCACAACAUUUACGAGUAGCGCAUGAUGAAUAUCAAGAGGAAGCAACUUUACUUUUUUUCCGCUUGAAAUCUCUAAAGCAAGGACAAUCAAGAAGCCUUCUUACACAAGCAGCAAGACACCAUGCUGCUCAGCUGAACUUUUUUAAGAAGGCUCUUAACUCUCUUGAAGAAGUAGAGCCACAUGUGCAGAAGAUCACUGAAAAGCAGCAUAUUGAAUACCACUUCUGUGGACUUGAAGAUGAUGAAGGAGAAAAUGGUGAUCCUGAUGGAAAUUAUGAAAAUGAUGAUGACGAUGAGAGUAGUGACGACAACGAAGAGGAUGAUGCUGAUGACCACCAUGAUGGUGAAUUGAGCUUUGAUAAUAGACAAAAUGACCAACAUCAGAACGUAUUUUAUACGUCACAGAAUUCAAUGGAGUUAGAUCAAAUGGGCGUUACAUUUUCCCAGGUUGCAGUGGUGGAGGCUGCAAAGGAAAAUAAAGGAAGAAGCCGUCAUCAUUCUUGUACAUUUAGAGGAGAAAUAAGGAACAGCAGCCAAUCAGCUCCACUUUUUUUUGAGAACAAAUCUGACCCUUCUGAGAAAAUGCAACCGUUAUCGGCACGGAAGUUUGGCUCAUAUGUAUUACCGACACCAGUUGCCACAAGAGUUUCUACUGGAUUAAGUAAUCCAGCUCCUCAGUCUCCAAUGAAAAGUUUGAAUGAGCAAUCAAGCAAUUCAUGGCAUUUAUCUCCACUUGAACAUAAGAAAUAUGAGAGGGUUUGGGGAGAUGAGAAAAUUUCUGGAUCUGCUUCUGCUGUUAUAAAUGCACAGUCACUUCUCAAAGAAUGCAAUAGUCCUUCCUCUUCAACUCGACUACCCCCUCGAGCUAGUCCAACUGUAGCUUAUUCUAAGAAAAUCAAACGACAUGCCUUUUCUGGUCCUUUGACUAGUAAACCCUGGUCUACCACAUCUGUUGCAGUGGAGCAUCCCCAAUUCUUCUCUGGGCCAAUUUUGAGAAAUCCAAUGCCUCAAAGGCCAGUAUCAUCUCCAAGAGCAUCACAAAGUGCUUCCCCUACUUUUAUAUCCUCACCCAAAAUAAGUGAGCUUCAUGAACUUCCUAGACCCCCAGCCAGUCCGGCCUCAAAGUCUUCAAGACCUUUCGGCAUGGUGGGUUAUUCAGGUCCCUUGAUGCCUAGAGGUCACGGGCUCUCUGCUACAAAUCAAUCGGUGGUGUCAAGAGCUGCCUCUCCACUGCCACAACCUCCUCAGGUUACUCGCAGUUUUUCCAUACCCUCAAGCAGAGGGGUGUCAUUACCUGAGUCCAAGCCACUGGAAACAUCUAUCAGUUUAGGGAUGUCUCAAGAUGUUGUCUCACCUACUUUGACACCGAUAUCUUUUUCUUAAAACCGACCAUCAUCAACUACUUCGUAAACUGUUGAUAGGUAAACGAAACACAAUGCUCCCCCCUCCCCCAACCCCAACAUCCAGAGACUAAAAUUAUCAAAAUUCCAGAGCUGAUUGGUUAAUCUCAUUCCUGUACUCAUUCAUUCCUUACCUUAAGGUACGGUUGUCAUUGCCGUGUCAAGGAGGUGCAGAUGUGCAUAUUGUCCUGGUCAAUUACUUUUUCCUACAAUCAUUGUUAUAUAUUUUAGCCGCAUUCGCAUCUUGUCCAUCGCCAUGAAUGCUUGGCAUGGAUGCCUGCCGUGCGUUCCAAGUUUAGAGAAAUUUUG
This is an RNA transcript of Hibiscus syriacus, 2307 nucleotides long. RefSeq lists it as uncharacterized. Lineage: Eukaryota; Viridiplantae; Streptophyta; Magnoliopsida; Malvales; Malvaceae. The record is from RefSeq and is a predicted model, not a curated record. The transcript has 11 exons.